Molecule: ribosomal RNA, 409 nt
Filed under: uncultured prokaryote
Description: partial 16S ribosomal RNA
Source: RNAcentral
CCCUACGGGGUGCAGCAGGCGCCGCACUGAGUGCAGGCGAAGCGGAGGCCGUUGCGAUACCAUGGGGCGAGGGAGGCGUAGGGCUGGUUGGAACCGCUCACGCCUUAGAUCCACAGCAUUUUUUGUAUUUCUUGCCCGAGCCGCAGGGGCAGGGGUCAUUUCGGCCGACGCUGUGCUCGGCCUUGGCCUGCUCUACGGGUUGGUCGGGGAGCGGGGGGUCGUCGGGGGGGACGCGGGCCCGCUCGAGAGACUUUCGUUCCUGUUUGCGCUCGAAACGCUUGGCGAAACGGUCGAAAACCGACAUGAAUUCUGCCUCAAUGGGUCGUUAUGUAGCCAUUAUAUGGUAAGCCGGCGCCCGGCCCAACAGGUGGGUUGCCGGGCGGACGAAUAAAGGUUUGGGCGGGAGGGC